RNAcentral lists this ribosomal RNA (324 nucleotides) under Triticum aestivum (bread wheat). RNAcentral describes it as "partial small subunit ribosomal RNA". Lineage: Eukaryota; Viridiplantae; Streptophyta; Magnoliopsida; Poales; Poaceae. The record is from RNAcentral.
AUGUUGUCGACCCUUUGGUUUGCUACUCUUAGAUGCCUGUUGAGUAAAUGUUAUCUGAAUCCUCACAUUUUCUUUUGUUUCAGAGGCAACUCCAUGAAGGACGCAGCGUCCAAGGCUUAUGCUCAGGUGUUUGCUCUUCACCAUGGCUGGGCCAUAAGGAAAGCAGUAUGUGCUAGAAUGUACGCCCUUCCUUCUAAGUCGCAGCUCUUGAAGAAACUGAAUGAAGAUGGUGAGUAUGUCUUCGUCUCCAGAACACUGAUUUAUCUCUCUUUAGUUUACACAUGUUAUUACAUUGAACUUCCAUGCCAAGAAAGCAACUCAUAA